GGGCAUUUUCUGCACCCAUGGGCUACCUAUGUAUAUUGUCAUUUUAUUUACAUAGUCAAAGAGUUUCCCUUCCAGAAAAAUUUAAAAUACUUCUUUCUUUUCUCAGGACCUACGCUCAGCAUGUCAGACCUCAAGGAUGAUGAAUCAUCAAAUUAUGAACCGGAAUCCUGCAGAGAGGCCGAGUUUUCCGAUUGGCUCAGCGCUCUUCAAAGGGAAGAGUUUUCUAGUUCAAGGCGUUGAAGCUGUCACAAAUGGGACAUAUUGGGCAUUCGGAAUCAUCAUACUUGGUUACUUAUUCUAUCUGAUAUUCGUGAGACAGAUCGUUGCUAAUUUAUCCGACACAAAGAAUCCUUUCAAGAGGCUAGAAACAGCACUAGAAUAUCCAGAUGUAUCUGCCGAUAAUGCAAACAGCACAACAUCUUUUUUCACACACGAUUAUGAGGCUACAACACCGUUCACCGUUCCCUAUGUUCCGUCUUUCACGCUCAGCGCGGAGGAUGCGAAGCUCAUGCGACCCUCUUUACGGCAAGUGUGGUCGUUCGCCCGCGAGCCAAAGAGAGGGCCGAGCGCUCUGGAGAUCCUCAAAGCGGAGAUCCAGGAGUCGCGGAGACUGCGACACCAACUGGAGAGCAACCUCGAGAAGAUCCUGCAGGAGAACGAAGGACUCGCCACGGACAGGUCUGAUUGGGCCGAUCACCUCCUCCAAUUCAAAGUCAACAGGACAACGCUCGCGGAGAGGCUCACCGCCAGCAAAAACAGGCUGACGGCAUCAUCCGUCGUAGACCACAAAUUUUGGAGCACCGACUCGCCGCAUCCAAAACCGAAAUCCAGGAGUUGCAACUACAAAUUGACGAGCUGAAAAGCGAAAAGCAGUCGGCCAUCGAGAUGGUCAGCAAGAUCCUUUUCCGGCCGGAAUCUCCCGGCCAUCGCCUCAUGCUCGGCCAGCACGGGUACCACCCUUCCGGAAAUUACCGCAACUUCGCCGACGAUGACUUCCGCAACUCCCAUCCCGGUGCAGGUGCGCCCAAGUCCUCCAUCUACUUGGGCUCAACAUCAUGCGUCAACUUCACAAUUUCCAACAUCACCGAGCCCCCGCCCGAGAAUGCUCUGGUCAGUUCUGUAGGAGCUCUAACGUUCCGGAAAACGGUAUGUCUCCGGAUCCGCCUCGGAAUAUCGAUCCGGAUGGAGUGAUUGGUCCGAAUCAUACUUGGAGACCCCAUCCGAAUCUACUCCGGAAGAACUCGGAUGGUCCCGAAAUCUGCGUCUCUCCGGAUCCGCUCCGGAAUAUCCACCCGGCCCGGCGUGCAUCCCGGAUUGCUCGAAUAAAUACCGUGUGAACUUGAAAGUUGCAGAAAGCGGUAUUUCUUUGGAUCCGCUCUUGAAUGAUGCUGCUUGUCGUCCGGAUCCUGUCGGUAGCUGUUCUAGUGCGGAGGCAGCUUGGAUAUGGAAUCACCAGACCGCAGAUUUACACCGGAAUAACUUAAUACCUGAAAAUAAUCCGGAUUCGUACCGGAGCGUUGAAAAUAUAAAUAAUGUUACCGUAAACUCUUCCGGGAACUCAAUAGAAGCUGGAGGAGCUGAUACGGCGCGGAAACAGCUAUUGAGUAUAGUGGAUCCAUCAAUGUCGUUUGGGGUUGAGAGCAGUGCCUUGGGCUCAAGUUUUUGUGCAGAGUUCUGCUGCAGUGAGAGCGUCGUCACACAUUGUUCGAGCUCUGAGGAGCCUGAUCGUCCGACUGGAGAGGGAUCUGUCCAAGGUACGCUUUUAUUCCUACAUGGGUCAGUGGGCUAAUUUUUUUUUUUUUUUUUUUUAUUAGAUACAUAGGGGUCUACAGAAUAUAUACGUAUCAACCCUAUUAAUCCUAACUUAAGGGCUAAUAAUUGAAAUGAAGUUGUUGCAUGUGUGAGGAAUUUGCGAUUUGACUAUUGAUUCUUUUGUAAAAGUUCGCGAGAAACACGAUGGUGCCUCUGUUUUCCUCUGAAAUGAACUCCCAGCUCAAAAAAAGCUCUCAAGUUGAGGUCAAAAUGGACGGGAUAUCCCACGCUAUCCCGAAAGUCCACCUCUACAUCAAGACAAACUCUCCGUGCGAAGAUAGGGAGCAAUACAUUAGCAGGGUUGCCAUGUUUUCAGUUUUAGAUUCCCCAAAUUAAGUGGCAGCCCUUUCAAUGUAUUUGCUCCCUAUCUUCGCAUGGAGAGUUUGUCUUGAUGUGGAGGUGGACUUUAGGAUAGUGUGGGAUAUCCCCUCCAUUUUGGCCUCAACUUGAGAGCUUUUUUUCGAGCUUGGGAGUGGAUUUCAGAGAAAACCAGCGGUACCAUCGUGUCUCUUGCGAACUUUUACGGAGGAAUCAAUAGUCAAAUCGCAAAUUCCUCACACAUGCAACAUCUUCAUUGAUAGACCAAGUUAUAAACAAAGAAUACAGAGAGAAAAUGGAGUGAUCUAUAGUGGCGUGGCGUGAAUUGCGAUGUAUCGAUUGUUAUGCCAUUUAAACCAAUGGUAAAGAAUCGAUUAUUAAGAUGUUCGCCGCGAACACCCUGUUUAUCGAUCCUUUUCCAUAGGUUUAAAUGGCAUAACAAUCGAUAUAUCGCAAAGCAUGCCACGCCACUGGAGUGAUCCUUUUAGUGGAAGUGGGCGAUUGCAAGGGACAAAAGAGAUGACUAAUAGACCAACUAACGGCAACCCACGAAGGACCCUAUGGUUAGUUCAUUCAUUCCCAUUGGUUUAUGAACACCACCCGCUUCGCCCAAUAGGAUCGCUCCAUUUUCCUUGUGUCUUUCUUUGUGUGUUCUGUAUGUGGAGUCAUGAAUAUCGAAGCACAAAAUAUCUCGUCAGUAUCAAGUUAUGUCUCAGUCGUAGUAUACGUUUCAUAAUGGGGGAACAAAGAAAAAGGAAGUGCAUUUUUAAAAUCCAUUAUAUUACAUGAAUUUAAAUAGCGGACAGUGUUGCCAACUUGCAAGAAUCGCCAUUGUCUCCUCGAGAGUAUUGGUCCAAAAACACCACUGAGUCGAAAUAAGUUUCGAUGAAUAUCGAAAGAUCGUCUGAUUUCAACUUUAUUUUUAAUUUCUUGAUAACUCGAUUGAUUUCCAGUUGAUGUACGAGAAACAAAAGCAGACACUCAACUUGAAAACCACCCUCGGGAGCAAGAGGGAAAUGAUCCAUCCUCAGAAGUCAUUGGGGACGGUGUGCCCGCUGAAAGACCCCGUACUUUCUCCGGUCCUGUCACAGGAUCUCCUCUGUUUCAGCAAUUUCUCACGAGCUACGUCAAGAAUGCUACACCAGAAUAAAACAUGGCCGGCCCUGUUACCUUCAUGCCAUUUCUAUUGGCAAUGUUUCAACAUCCGCCACCUAUUCACAGGUUCUCUAAUCACUGUGUAGUAAAAAACUAAGCCAAAGUUGAUUGUUUUUAUUUUAUUGUUUUUUUCCCCUGCAUGUUAUCACUAACUUAUAUGAUCUAUUCCGGGAAGCAGCAAAAAGCAGGGAUCACUUCAGAGACUUUAACGCAAGGGAAGAAAGUAGGCACGUCGACAAACGUGAGUUGCUUGACGCAUGGAGACAC
This 3552-nucleotide long non-coding RNA is filed under the name Bemisia tabaci. RNAcentral's name for it is "lncRNA ENSSWEETPG001717". Lineage: Eukaryota; Metazoa; Arthropoda; Insecta; Hemiptera; Aleyrodidae. The record is from RNAcentral.